Molecule: ribosomal RNA, 850 nt
Filed under: uncultured bacterium
Lineage: Bacteria
Description: bacterial SSU rRNA
Rfam family: Bacterial small subunit ribosomal RNA
Source: RNAcentral
UAGAGUUUGAUCCUGGCUCAGGACGAACGCUGGCGGCGUGCCUAAUACAUGCAAGUCGAGCGGGGUUAAUUUUAGAGCUUGCUCUUUAAUUAACCUAGCGGCGGAUGGGUGAGUAACACGUGGGUAACCUGCCUAAAAGACUGGGAUAACUCCGGGAAACCGGUGCUAAUACUGGAUAAUCUACAUGGUCAUCGGACCAAGUAGUAAAAGGUGGCGUAAGCUACCACUUUUAGAUGGGCCCGCGUCGCAUUAGCUAGUUGGUGGGGUAAUGGCCUACCAAGGCAACGAUGCGUAGCCGACCUGAGAGGGUGAUCGGCCACACUGGGACUGAGAUACGGCCCAGACUCCUACGGGAGGCAGCAGUAGGGAAUCUUCCGCAAUGGACGAAAGUCUGACGGAGCAACGCCGCGUGAAUGAUGAAGGUUUUCGGAUUGUAAAAUUCUGUCAUUAGGGAAGAAUGUUUGUAGUUUAAAUAAGGCUAUAAAUUGACGGUACCUAAAGAGGAAGCCCCGGCUAACUACGUGCCAGCAGCCGCGGUAAUACGUAGGGGGCAAGCGUUGUCCGGAAUUAUUGGGCGUAAAGCGCGCGCAGGCGGUCUAAUAAGUCUGAUGUGAAAGCCCACGGCUCAACCGUGGAUGGUCAUUGGAAACUGUUAGACUUGAGUAUAGGAGAGGAAAGUGGAAUUCCAUGUGUAGCGGUGAAAUGCGUAGAUAUAUGGAGGAACACCAGUGGCGAAGGCGACUUUCUGGCCUAUGUCUGACGCUGAGGCGCGAAAGCGUGGGGAGCAAACAGGAUUAGAUACCCUGGUAGUCCACGCUGUAAACGAUGAGUGCUAGGUGUUAGGGGUUUC